Long non-coding RNA from Lactuca sativa (garden lettuce), 900 nucleotides. RefSeq lists it as uncharacterized. The record is from RefSeq and is a predicted model, not a curated record. NCBI's taxonomy places the organism in Eukaryota, Viridiplantae, Streptophyta, Magnoliopsida, Asterales, Asteraceae.
AACUUCACUAAACUAUAGGGGCUGUUUGGUAAUUUUAUUUAUUAAGUGGGAUUGUUUUGGUAAAGAAAAUACCAAAGGAAUGGUUGUUUUGAAUAAAUGGAUUAGAUGUUUGGGGUUUGGGACUUUUUUUUAAAAAUGAAUGUUGCAGCAGGGGUUAUUUGGUCAUUUUAUCGAAGUUGGAAGGACUUAGGGUUUUUUUGUCCGACCUUAUUUUUGAUCGGUCAAAUAGAAGGGACGAUCGCAAGUAGAACAUGAACGAAUGAUUGCAGUCAAGAAAGAGGCGCAUGAAGCCAUCGACGAUGCUUCUGAUUCCUUGCUCGUCGCAGGCCACAAAGAGGACCAAAGGAAAGAAAAAGCUCGCACGAGGAGGCGGAGGCGGCGAUCUCCGAGGAACCCUUCCUGGGUUGCGCAUCUUGUAGCCGACAGCAGUCAAGCAAGGAGGAGGCACCUCUCGUGCUUGGUUGGACCGGAUAAAGGGAUAAGAAGCAGGGCAGCGAGACUGUCCUCGAUGGUUCUCGUAGCACCACCACUGCCAAUGGUUCAUGACAUGGGACCAAGAAACAGGAAUGGAAACAAGAAAUGGCUACUAUGAAGUCGAUAGGAAGAAUGGGGAAUCGAGAGGGGGUUGUUGCCCUCUUGGUGUAUUCCUGGCAGCAAUCGAAGGACAAACAGAAGCAGAAGGCUUUGCGUGUGAUUAAGUGAAAGAUGAAGUAUGUAAGAAAAGUUAUGGUUUUGGCUGUCAAUUGAAAGAGGAAAGAGGAAAGAGUUGUGUAUAGUAUUGGUUAAGUUGAAAUGUGGAAAAAAAUAAUAGCUUUUAAUUUGUUUUCUUUUGCCCAAAAUUGUAUAUAUAUUUGGUUGGAUAAUCUUAUUUAUACAACAAAAUUACCUUAGUUAUACACA